AUACGUAGGUGGCAAGCGUUGUCCGGAUUUACUGGGUGUAAAGGGCGUGCAGCCGGAGAGACAAGUCAGAUGUGAAAUCCGCGGGCUCAACCCGCGAACUGCAUUUGAAACUGUUUCCCUUGAGUAUCGGAGAGGUAAUCGGAAUUCCUAGUGUAGCGGUGAAAUGCGUAGAUAUUAGGAAGAACACCAGUGGCGAAGGCGGAUUACUGGACGACAACUGACGGUGAGGCGCGAAAGCGUGGGGAGC
This 247-nucleotide ribosomal RNA is filed under the name uncultured bacterium. Its description in RNAcentral is "partial 16S ribosomal RNA". It matches the Rfam family "Bacterial small subunit ribosomal RNA", at positions 523 to 769 of the family's 1533-position model. The record is from RNAcentral.